RNAcentral lists this unclassified non-coding RNA (304 nucleotides) under uncultured fungus. RNAcentral's name for it is "sequence contains ITS1". The stretch from base 1 to 105 matches the Rfam family "5.8S ribosomal RNA", at positions 50 to 154 of the family's 154-position model. The record is from RNAcentral. Lineage: Eukaryota; Fungi.
GAAAUGCGAUAAGUAAUGUGAAUUGCAGAAUUCAGUGAAUCAUCGAAUCUUUGAACGCACAUUGCGCCCCUUGGUAUUCCGAGGGGCAUGCCUGUUCGAGCGUCAUUACAACCCAUCAAGCUCUGCUUGGCCUUGGACGCCGCCCCCGCGAGGGGGCGCGCCCCAAAGAACUCAGCGGUGCCGUCAGGCCCCGAGGCGUAGUUAAAUCUCCCGCUUCGUGGGGCCUUUCCGGUCUGCCCGCUUCCAACGACCCGCAAACUUCCAGGUUGACCUCGGAUCAGGUAGGGAUACCCGCUGAACUUAA